CGGACGGGUGAGUAACGCGUAGGCAACCUGCCCCAUACAAAGGGAUAGCAUUUGGAAACGAAUAUUAAUACCUUAUGAAACUUAACUAGUGCAUGCUAGGUAGGUCAAAGAUUUAUCGGUAUGGGAUGGGCCUGCGUCUGAUUAGCUAGUUGGUGAGGUAACGGCUCACCAAGGCGACGAUCAGUAGCCGACCUGAGAGGGUGAACGGCCACAUUGGAACUGAGACACGGUCCAA
This 235-nucleotide ribosomal RNA is filed under the name uncultured Eubacteriales bacterium. Its description in RNAcentral is "uncultured Clostridiales bacterium partial 16S ribosomal RNA". It matches the Rfam family "Bacterial small subunit ribosomal RNA", at positions 99 to 334 of the family's 1533-position model. The record is from RNAcentral. Lineage: Bacteria; Bacillati; Bacillota; Clostridia; Eubacteriales.